AACCUACCCUUGGGACCGGGAUAACCCCGGGAAACUGGGGACAAUACCGGAUAGGUCAUAGACGCUGGAAUGCACUUUGACCUAAAGCGAAAGCGCCCAAGGAUGGGUCUGCGGCCCAUCAGGCUGUUGUCAGUGUAACGAACUGACAAACCUAUAAUGGGUACGGGCACUGAGAGGUGAAGCCCGGAGAUGGGUUCUGAGACAUGAACCCAGGGUCUACGGACCGCAGCAGGCGCGAAACCUUUGCAAUGCGGGAAACCGCGACAGGGGAACUCCGAGUGUCUGCACCUAGUGCAGACUUUUCAGAUGCCUAAAAAGCAUCUGGAAUAAGGGCCGGGUAAGACGGGUGCCAGCCGCCGCGGUAACACCCGCGGCCCGAGUGGUGGUCGUUUUUAUUGGGUCUAAAGGGUUCGUAGCCGGCUCAGCAAGUCCUUUGGGAAAUCCGGCGGCUUAACUGUCAGGCUUCUAAGGGAUACUACUGGGCUUGGGACCGGGCGAGGGUAGAGGUACUCCGGGGGUAGCGGUGAAAUGCUGUAAUCCCUGGGGGGCCA
This 551-nucleotide ribosomal RNA is filed under the name uncultured archaeon. RNAcentral describes it as "bacterial SSU rRNA". It matches the Rfam family "Archaeal small subunit ribosomal RNA", at positions 106 to 659 of the family's 1478-position model. The record is from RNAcentral.